This 250-nucleotide long non-coding RNA is filed under the name Hordeum vulgare. Its description in RNAcentral is "long non-coding RNA (HVUL_LNC021596)". The record is from RNAcentral. Lineage: Eukaryota; Viridiplantae; Streptophyta; Magnoliopsida; Poales; Poaceae.
GGGCAGCUGCUGGUGCGCGGCCGUGUCGAGGCGGAGGUCGAGGCUGACGCCGUGCAGCAGCAGCUGGUGCGGCUGCGGCGCCUCGCCCUCCAUGGUCGAUGGUCGAUGAACGGAGCAAGCAAGCCCGGCCGGCACGUGGAUCGCAGAGCUAGUGGGCGUGGCAGUUGGGGACGCGGUGGCGUGUGUGUGGCCGUGUGGAGGAAGAAGAAGCCAAGAAGGAGCAGAGGGAGUGGCGCGGGGGCGCUGGUCU